Molecule: ribosomal RNA, 385 nt
Filed under: uncultured bacterium
Lineage: Bacteria
Description: bacterial SSU rRNA
Rfam family: Bacterial small subunit ribosomal RNA
Source: RNAcentral
GACGAACGCUGGCGGCGUGCUUAACACAUGCAAGUCGAGCGGUAAGGCCCUUUCGGGGUACGACGAGCGGCGAACGGGUGAGUAACACGUGGGUGACCUGCCCUCAGCUCUGGGAUAAGCCUGGGAAACCGGGUCUAAUACUGGAUAUGACUCCAUGACGCAUGUUGUGGGGUGGAAAGCCUUGUGCGGCUGAGGAUGGGCCCGCGGCCUAUCAGCUUGUUGGUGGGGUGAUGGCCUACCAAGGCGACGACGGUAGCCGGCCUGAGAGGCGACCGGCCACACUGGGACUGAGACACGGCCCAGACUCCUACGGGAGGCAGCAGUGGGGAAUCUUGCGCAAUGGGCGAAAGCCUGACGCAGCGACGCCGCGUGAGGGAUGACGGCC